AUAAAAGGGCAGAGGUUUCUAGCUGGCUGUCUCUUGUUUGUUGGUACACAGACCCGCCCCACUUGCGUGUUUGCCGUGUUUGCUUCCGCCACCGGUGCAGUGGUGGAUCCUCCGGGUGCAGCCUGUCAACGCAGCCAUAGAAAGCAUGAAGCUCUCUCCUCUCUGCGUCAUCGAUAGGAAAGCCUGAUCGGGCCAAUCCAAUGAUUAAGGGACAU
Trematomus bernacchii (emerald rockcod) is the source of this 215-nucleotide long non-coding RNA. RefSeq lists it as uncharacterized. The record is from RefSeq and is a predicted model, not a curated record. Lineage: Eukaryota; Metazoa; Chordata; Actinopteri; Perciformes; Nototheniidae. The transcript has 3 exons.